Molecule: regulatory RNA element, 117 nt
Organism: Celeribacter indicus
Lineage: Bacteria; Pseudomonadati; Pseudomonadota; Alphaproteobacteria; Rhodobacterales; Roseobacteraceae
Rfam family: ALIL pseudoknot
Source: Rfam
GGCGUAUUUUGCGAUGGCGGAGCUCGACCGCCGACCGAAGUCAUGAUCGCCUUUAUCGACGAUUAUCGUGGAGAGCUCGGGGUCGAGCCGAUCUGCAAGCACCUGCCGAUUGCCCCG